AGUUUGAUCCUGGCUCAGAACGAACGCUGGCGGCAUGCCUAACACAUGCAAGUCGAACGAGACCUUCGGGUCUAGUGGCGCACGGGUGCGUAACGCGUGGGAAUCUGCCCUUAGGUUCGGAAUAACUUCGGGAAACUGAAGCUAAUACCGGAUGAUGACGUAAGUCCAAAGAUUUAUCGCCUAAGGAUGAGCCCGCGUUGGAUUAGCUAGUUGGUGAGGUAAAAGGCUCACCAAGGCGACGAUCCAUAGCUGGUCUGAGAGGAUGAUCAGCCACACUGGGACUGAGACACGGCCCAGACUCCUACGGGAGGCAGCAGUGGGGAAUAUUGGACAAUGGGCGAAAGCCUGAUCCAGCAAUGCCGCGUGAGUGAUGAAGGCCUUAGGGUUGUAAAGCUCUUUUACCCGGGAUGAUAAUGACAGUACCGGGAGAAUAAGCCCCGGCUAACUCCGUG
This 452-nucleotide ribosomal RNA is filed under the name uncultured bacterium. Its description in RNAcentral is "bacterial SSU rRNA". It matches the Rfam family "Bacterial small subunit ribosomal RNA", at positions 10 to 507 of the family's 1533-position model. The record is from RNAcentral.